Schistosoma rodhaini is the source of this 45-nucleotide non-coding RNA. Lineage: Eukaryota; Metazoa; Platyhelminthes; Trematoda; Strigeidida; Schistosomatidae. The record is from Rfam.
AUCCAGUUGACGAGUCCUAAAUAGGACGAAACGCAUGUCUUGGGU